AAGAGCCAGGAGUACAGGCCACUAGCAUGUCUGGGGGCGGGGCUGGGGGGCAGAGGGUGGGGGCGGAGAUGGAUUUCAUGAGUCGCCCUGCUUCUGCCCCUCACAGUCUGCACCGGCUCUGAUUCUGGACCUCAACUAAUCCUUUCAGCUUCUUCAUAUACACGCCCACACACAGAGACACACACACACACACACUCAUGCCUUCCACCCAUGUCCGUGGCCUGGGGCUGGACUAACACCAUGAAGUGUCAGCAAACGGAUUUUACAAACAUUACCUCCCAAAUGGCAGCCUGACGUCUGAAAAUAUUACCUACUCUGUGUCCCUACAACACCGUCAGUUCACUCAAUUGCGUAAUCAUAGACGAACGUGCCUUACUGCAGCCUCCUGUUUUCCUUCUCGUGUUGGUAACAGAGUCUAAGGGCUGGCUUUAAGACCUCUGGGAUAAGAUUAAUGCCAAAGUACCCAGUGUUUCCAUUCAUCCAAGGAGCAGGCUGCCUGCAAAACAUGUCUAAAAUUAUCCCUAAUUCCAAGUCCUCUCUACACAAUCAAGCUCUCCAAUAUAAUAAUUCCAAAACCUUUCUUGAUUCCUGCUUUUAAUAAAGUACAUUUACAGAGGAUAUGAGUUCCAGAUUUGAUUUCAGACUCUGGGGAUGUAUAUUCCUCUUCUGGAACUUGUAUAUCCGGUCCUGGGGAAAAAAAAAAAGAAAAGGGAAAGAGAGAAAGAGAAAGAGAGGGGGAGAGAGUGCAGAGCGUAACAAACAUUCCUUGUAUUUCUUCUGUCUUUUGCCCACUGAGCGCGGAGGGGAGAGACGGGCUGAUACACAGCAUCUGGUUAAAGUCAGAUGGAGGAAAACUGGAGCCAACACAGAGGUUUCAGUUUUAGGAGAUACUUGGGAGAAAUGA
This 904-nucleotide long non-coding RNA is filed under the name Ovis aries (sheep). RNAcentral's name for it is "lncRNA (ENSOARG00000026801.1)". Lineage: Eukaryota; Metazoa; Chordata; Mammalia; Artiodactyla; Bovidae. The record is from RNAcentral.